Cornus florida is the source of this 1602-nucleotide RNA transcript. RefSeq lists it as uncharacterized. The transcript has 8 exons. NCBI's taxonomy places the organism in Eukaryota, Viridiplantae, Streptophyta, Magnoliopsida, Cornales, Cornaceae. The record is from RefSeq and is a predicted model, not a curated record.
UUGUAGUAGUUGUAAAAGGAUGAUUUUGAUAAAUUUAAUGGUUAGUUAACAAAUCCUUCAAAUUCCUUAAUCCAAAUCCUUUUGAAAUCCAAUUCCCAUCAAAUCUGUGAUUCCAAACACUGCGUAAAAGCACUCCACUUCUUCAAUAAGAUGAAACCCUAAUCUGAUGCCGUCGCUCCCUAUCUCUCUUACAACCAUCUAGAACGAUUACACCUCAUGUUCCUCACCCCUUAUGCCCCGCACACAGCCAACUCGGGUAUUGAUAGCAAGCGAGCAGAGUGGCUUCAUUGACGACGAUCUGGUGGGAGACGGCGGCAAUCUCGGUGGAAACAAGAUCCAUCUGGGCUUUGUCACUUUGCCGAUCAGGUUGUUGUUGUUGGUGACCGACUGAUUUACAAAUUGUGAUACAAGUGCAAUCUCUAAUUUCGUGAUUUGUAUUUUGGCCUAUCAUCUUGCCCAUUCUCUUUGAAAAGCCCUGCGACUUGCCCUAGCCCCAAAUCCUCCUGACACCGAGCCACCACAAGAGAUUUCUCACCAAAGGUUGCGAUUUCUCACCGGCAUGUGUUACCAGCAACUCCACCAGUGAAAUUGCCAGUCAGGCCCGUGGGUUUGUGAAGCUUUGAACAAUAAUACAAUGGUGGUGACCUCGGGAUCAUUCAACAAGGAGAUGGCCAUCCGAAGGAAGAUUGCCAGCAUAUUUAAUAAAAGAGAGGAUGAUUUUCCAUCGCUGAGAGAAUACAAUGAUUACUUGGAGGAAGUGGAAGACAUGACAUUCAACUUGAUCGAAGGAAUAGAUGUUCCUGCUAUUGAAGCGAAAAUUGAGCAGUACAGGAAAGAAAAUGCUGAACAAAUAACGAAUGCUCUAGCUCGUAAGGCUGAAGAAUAUGCAGCAGCAUUGGCAGCAAGCAAGGGACUGCCUGCACAUAUUGAUAGUGAUGUGAGCACAAGCCAGAGCUCUCAAGGUGGCGUUGGUGCUGGUUUCCAGGGACCUUAUGCACCUGCAAUUGCUGGAGUUGCACAGCCACGCCCCACAAGCAUGGCCUCACAACCUGUCCCGAUUGGACCUGGGAUUGGCAUGCAAGGGCAUGCUUUUGAUGAUGAAGAAAUGAUGAGACUCCGAGCAGAGAGAGGUGGAAAGGCAGGAGGUUGGAGUCUAGAAUUUAGCAAGAAACGGGCCCUUGAAGAAGCCUUCGGAAGCAUUUGGAUUUGAUUUUUAGUAUACAGCUUGCUUUGCUGUGCAAUUUGCUCAUUCAUGUGAGGCAGAACAGGUGCAAACAGAGUAGAUGACGUGAGUCGAUGUCAGAGGUGGUGAUGCGAAGUGUUGCGACGCUACCAAGAUGACGCAAUGUGAGUUCAGGCAAAGUUCAGUGAUUGCCAUGAAUUCGAAGUAGCCGACGCGAUGAAUUAGGAGUACAACAGUCAGUCAAAAUUGCAGAAAUCGUGCAACUGUGAUUUGGGGAAUUUCAGAAAUUGUACGAUUGCUAUUUAGGGCAAAUUUGUUGAAUUUUCUUAGGCUGUCUCGUGAUCACAUCAUUUCUUUUUAUAUAUAGAGAUUGAGUUAUGAACUAAAUUAUAUAGAGAGAGAAAUAGCUCUGUUCGGUA